UUAUAUUUCCCUGGUUAAAAAGAAAAACAAAUAAGAUACCACAAAGAUCAAGAUCAAGCGAGAGCAUUUGGACCCAGACCGAGACCUCAUCCCUCACUCCUCAGACACGUGCUUAUGUGUAUCUGUAAACCACUAAAACCUUAAGGAACAGCUAGGAAACACACACCAAAUAUAGCUGCAACACAAACAAACAACAAAGAAGAUGGCAAAGAAGAGGAAGAGGAGUGGAAGCAACACACAAAAUAAAAACUUGAAAGAGAAGAAGGAAGAGGAACAAAAUAAAGAAGACAUGACAAAAGAAGAUAAAGAGAGUAAAAGUGGAGAGAAGGAGAUAGAGAAGAUGGAAAAGAUGACUUCUAUUAAUGCAGAGAUGAA
Long non-coding RNA from Portunus trituberculatus (swimming crab), 375 nucleotides. RefSeq lists it as uncharacterized. Lineage: Eukaryota; Metazoa; Arthropoda; Malacostraca; Decapoda; Portunidae. The transcript has 2 exons. The record is from RefSeq and is a predicted model, not a curated record.